Molecule: ribosomal RNA, 469 nt
Filed under: uncultured bacterium
Lineage: Bacteria
Description: partial 16S ribosomal RNA
Rfam family: Bacterial small subunit ribosomal RNA
Source: RNAcentral
GACGAACGCCGGCGGCGUGCUUAACACAUGCAAGUCGAACGGAAAGGCCCUGCUUUUGUGGGGUGCUCGAGUGGCGAACGGGUGAGUAACACGUGAGUAACCUGCCCUUGACUUUGGGAUAACUUCAGGAAACUGGGGCUAAUACCGGAUAGGAGCUCCUGCUGCAUGGUGGGGGUUGGAAAGUUUCGGCGGUUGGGGAUGGACUCGCGGCUUAUCAGCUUGUUGGUGGGGUAGUGGCUUACCAAGGCUUUGACGGGUAGCCGGCCUGAGAGGGUGACCGGCCACAUUGGGACUGAGAUACGGCCCAGACUCCUACGGGAGGCAGCAGUGGGGAAUAUUGCACAAUGGGCGGAAGCCUGAUGCAGCAACGCCGCGUGCGGGAUGACGGCCUUCGGGUUGUAAACCGCUUUCGCCUGUGACGAAGCGUGAGUGACGGUAAUGGGUAAAGAAGCACCGGCUAACUACGUGC